RNAcentral lists this ribosomal RNA (301 nucleotides) under uncultured bacterium. Its description in RNAcentral is "partial 16S ribosomal RNA". It matches the Rfam family "Bacterial small subunit ribosomal RNA", at positions 509 to 809 of the family's 1533-position model. The record is from RNAcentral.
CAGUAGCCGCGGGAACACGUAGGCAGCGAGCGUUGUUCGGAAUUACUGGCCGUAAAGGGCGCGUAGGCGGCGGCCAAAGUCAGGCGUGAAAUUCCCGGGCUCAACCUGGGGGCUGCGUUUGAUACUUGGUUGCUUGAGUGGGGAAGAGGGUCGUGGAAUUCCCAGUGUAGAGGUGAAAUUCGUAGAUAUUGGGAAGAACACCGGUGGCGAGGGCGGCGACCUGGUCCUUUACUGACGCUGAGUCGCGAAAGCGUGGGGAGCAAACAGGAUUAGAUACCCGUGUAGUCCCUGUCUCUUAUAA